RNAcentral lists this long non-coding RNA (530 nucleotides) under Vulpes vulpes (red fox). RNAcentral's name for it is "lncRNA (ENSVVUG00000013566.1)". The record is from RNAcentral. Lineage: Eukaryota; Metazoa; Chordata; Mammalia; Carnivora; Canidae.
AUCCAAGACGCCCAGCCUCUCGUGGACACCAGCGCCCCUCUGAGCCUCAGUCACCUCCACCUGAAAUUCAAGAAGCUGAAGCUGGAGGAAGAACGGCUCGCCGUCAUUGACUGGGACAACCGUCUGCUGCUGGAGAGGUUGUCCUGCAUCAUGAGGACCAGGGGACAGGCUGAAAGUAGAAAGAGCCACACACAGAAGAGGGGAACCGUGGGGAUGCUACUCGCUCCAACAACAUGGCAUUUCCCCAAAGUGGAGCUCUCUGUGGGGAGGGAGAAGAGCAGGCCUCCAUGGCCUCUAAAAUCUUCUGGGGAUCCCUGGGUGGCACAGCGGUUUGGCGCCUGCCUUUGGCCCAGGGCGCGAUCCUGGAGACCCAGGAUCGAAUCCCACAUCGGGCUCCCGGUGCAUGGAGUCUGCUUCUCCCUCUGCCUAUGUCUCUGCCUCUCUCUCUCUCUCUCUCUCUCUGUGACUAUCAUAAAUAAAUAAAAAUUUAAAAACAUAAAAAUAAAAAAAUAAAAUAAAAUCUUCCUACA